CAACUAUCCCACUAAACACUCAUCAUUCCACUAAACACUCAUUAUUCCACACACUCAUCAUUCCACUAAACACUCUUUACACCUUCUUUUGCCAGCCAUCUUCUACACUUUAACAUCUCAACAUGCAAUUAGCUUUUAUUUAAUCAAAAUCAGCAACCAACAUUCCUCCCAUUCCUCCUAAUAUUCUGAUCCAAGCUAUACGUUCUUAUGCUUGAAUUAUAAUUCACUGAUUCCAGCUUUCCAAAUCAGUUUCCAAGAUUUCCCAAAACAAGAAAGAGAUCCAAUUUUGGUGAAUUCAGAAAGAAGAUUUUCCUCAUUUCCUACUCAUAUCAAGGUUACCUCCUACUUUACUUUCUCCAUACAUUCAUUUGUUAAAUUACAAAACUAUGAUUCAAAUGAAAACAGAUCGAACACACGCAUCCAUUACCACUUCUUUUAGACUAUUAUUGUUUCAAUUACAUCAGCUUAUUACCAUCAGAGAACCACCAACAGAAUAAUACACACGCACACAUUUUACUAUAUUCUCUAAUCUAUUACAUGUACAAUCAGUUUUAAUAAAAAGGAAAUGAAUGAUUGAAAGAACAGAUUUUUAAAACCCUAACUUGUUCUAUAUUUUGAAUCUGGACUGAAAAAUUUGGAGAGUUCCUUGUGUUUUGCUUGCGUGUGUGUUGUUCGAAUCGUGAGAGGGGAAGGAGGGAGCAGCAGACGGCUGUUCGGCGCCGGCAACGGCGGCGCGGCGGCAACUGUCGUCCAGUCCCUGUUCUGCCAAAACGAGAGAGAAGGGAAAGGGGGAGAGAUUAGAUUAUAACAAAAAAGAAGAGAAGGGAGAACAGGGGAGGGAGAGAGAGAGAUAGGAGGGAGAACUUAUCUUCUCCGGUGACGACGAUGCGGCGGCAUCGGCAGCGGCGACACGGCAGCGGGAGCACCGAGCUGUUCCUGGUCGGCCGGAAAAGAGAAAAAGAGGGGGAGCUCAGAUCUGGAGCCUACCUUCCCGGCGAGGCAAGGCUCGGCCUCCACCGCGAUUCCAGCAAGACGAACGACGGGAGCGGCGACGCUCGGCUCUUCCCCGUGAGUCCGGCGGUGGUUGUGGGCGGCGAAGAUGGAUGCGACGGUGGGGGUAGCCUCUGCUGCCCUAUUCCGAGCAAGGAGCCGUGGCUCUGUUUUUCCGGCGAGAUAGAGAGAGAAGAGGAGAGACCGAGAGUAUGAGAGGGGGAGGGGAGAUGCACGGCGAGGCGGCGCGCCGGAGGCGGCGCCGCACUCGACCGAGCAGAGAGAGAGAGUCGGGAGAGCCGAGAGGGAGAGUGAGAGUGGCUGUGUGUGUGCGUGUGUUAUGUGUUUGUGUG
Salvia miltiorrhiza (redroot sage) is the source of this 1343-nucleotide long non-coding RNA. RefSeq lists it as uncharacterized. The transcript is spliced from 2 exons. NCBI's taxonomy places the organism in Eukaryota, Viridiplantae, Streptophyta, Magnoliopsida, Lamiales, Lamiaceae. The record is from RefSeq and is a predicted model, not a curated record.